UGCCUGCUAAAUAUCUAAAAUGUUAAUGCAUGUCAGAACAAAAAAGAGUUUGCUAUUCUGCUAUUGGGGUACUGUACAAUUUUUUUUUCAUAAAAUCAUGCUUCAGGCCUGUAGAUUUAAAAGUUUAUUGUAAAUAAACUGUACACUAGUAGUACUAUUAGAAGAGAUUGAUAUUAAUCCUGAUAAUGACUUUUUCAGGUCACUGUCAGGACUAAUGUUCCUCCCUGUAACCAGCAAUGUACAUGUAUGUGUUAAAAUGUUAGUUUUAU
Molecule: long non-coding RNA, 269 nt
Filed under: Mytilus galloprovincialis (Mediterranean mussel)
Lineage: Eukaryota; Metazoa; Mollusca; Bivalvia; Mytilida; Mytilidae
Source: RNAcentral